UGUGUACCUACUAUGCCCUUCUCCAAGU
This 28-nucleotide non-coding RNA is filed under the name Mus musculus (house mouse). Lineage: Eukaryota; Metazoa; Chordata; Mammalia; Rodentia; Muridae. The record is from RNAcentral.